GAUGCGCGGUCUACCUGCAGUCGAGCGGUUCAUGGUCCUUGGUGCUGGCUCUCUCAUGAGAGAGGUGAGUCGGACUGGGUAUCAACACUGUGCGUGAGGGAUGGCGAGAGGGGGAUAACACUUGGCUCAGGUGCCUUACCGCAUAACAUGUUAUACCUUCUGACCUAACACUGUCAGGCGCUUCUGGGUGUCACUAAUGGAUGGACCCGCUGGGGUUAACUAGUUGGUGAGGUAACGGCUCACCAAGGCCACAGAGCAUACCCGACCUGAGAGGGUGAUCGACCACACUGGGACUGAGACACGGCCCAGACUCCUACGGGAGGCAGCAGUAGGGAAUCUUCGGCAAUGGACGAAAGUCUGACCGAGCAACGCCGCGUGAGUGAAGAAGGUUUUCGGAUCGUAAAACUCUGUUGUUAGAGAAGAACAAGGACGUUAGUAACUGAACGUCCCCUGACGUUCUAACCGAGAAAGCCACGGCUAACUCGUGCCAGCAGCCGCGGUAAUCGUAGGUGGCAAGCGUUUCCGGAUUAUUGGGCGUAAAGCGAGCAGGCGGUUUCUAAGUCUGGUGAAAGCCCCGGCUCAACCGGGAGGUCAUUGGAAACUGGGGACUUGAGUGCGAGAGGAGAGUGGAAUUCCAUGUGUAGCGGUGAAAUGCGUAGAUAUAUGGAGGAACCCGUGGCGAAGCGCUCUGGUCUGAACUGACGCUGAGGUGGAAAGCGUGGGAGCAAACAGAUUAGAUACCUGGUAGUCCACGCCGUAACGAUGUCGACUAGGUGUUGGUGGCUUGAGCCUUGAGUGCGCAGCUAACGCAUUAAUCGACCGCCUGGGGAGUACGGCCGCAAGGUUAGAACUCAAAUGAAUUGACGGGGCCCGCACAAGCGGUGGAGCAUGUGGUUUAAUUCGAAGCAACGCGAAGAACCUUACCUAGCUCUGACAUCCAGAGACCUCCCAGAGAUAGAUCUUUCCUUUGGGAGAUCAGAGACAGGUGCGGCAUGGCUGUCGUCAGCUCGUGUCUGAAAUGUUGGGUUAAGUCCCGCAACGAGCGCCACCCUUGUCUUUUGUUUCCAGUCAUUCGGUUGGGCACUCUAGCGAGACUGCCGGGGACAAACCGGAGGAAGGGGGGGAUGACGUCAAAUCAUCAUGCCCCUUAUGGCCUGGGGUUCCCCCCGGGUUCAAAGGGAAGAUCCAAAGAGAAGCGGCCUGGGGAGAGCAAGCGGUCUUCAUAAACUUCUUUCUAGUCGGGAUGCGAGUCUGCAACUGGACUCCAGGAACUGGGAAUGGCUGGUAAUGGGGAAUCAGAAUGCUACGUGGAAUCGGUUCCCGGCCCUGGUCCACACGGCCGGUAACCCCCAGGGAAUUGGGUCCCCAGGAGUUGGGGAGCUAACCUUUAAGGAGCCCGCUUCCCACGGUGGAUACAUGAUGGGUGAAGUCGUAACAAGUAACAGCGC
RNAcentral lists this ribosomal RNA (1448 nucleotides) under uncultured bacterium. RNAcentral describes it as "partial 16S ribosomal RNA". It matches the Rfam family "Bacterial small subunit ribosomal RNA". The record is from RNAcentral. RNAcentral also lists the same sequence under 1 other name.